Oryza glumipatula is the source of this 206-nucleotide non-coding RNA. NCBI's taxonomy places the organism in Eukaryota, Viridiplantae, Streptophyta, Magnoliopsida, Poales, Poaceae. The record is from Rfam.
UGACCGUUCGUCUUUUACUAUUCAUCUUCAACAUUUGACUGUUCGUCUUUUGUGAAAAAAAUUUUAUGAUUACUAUUUUUAUUGUUAUUAGAUGAUAAAAUAUGAAUAGUACUUUAUGUGUGACUAUUUUUUAAAAAAAUUCAUAAAUUUUUCAAAUAAGACAGAUGGUCAAACGUUGGACACGAAUUUCCACGGCUGCACUUAUU